CAAUAGCGUAUAUUUAAGUUGCUGCAGUUAAAAAGCUCGUAGUUGGAUUUCGGGUGGGAAUGGCCGGUCCGCCGUUUCGGUGUGCACUUGCUACGCCCACCUUGCUGCCGGGGACGUGCUCUUGAGUUCACGCUCGGGACACGGAGUCGGCGAGGUUACUUUGAGUAAAUUAGUGUGUUCAAAGCAGGCCUACGCUCUGAAUACAUUAGCAUGGAAUAACACGAUAGGACUCUGGCCUAUCUUGUUGGUCUGUAGGACCGGAGUAAUGAUUAAGAGGGACAGUCGGGGGCAUUCGUAUUUCAUUGUCAGAGGUGAAAUUCUUGGAUUUAUGAAAGACGAACUACUGCGAAAGCAUUUGCCAAGGAUGUUUUCAUUAA
This 377-nucleotide ribosomal RNA is filed under the name uncultured eukaryote. RNAcentral's name for it is "partial 18S ribosomal RNA". It matches the Rfam family "Eukaryotic small subunit ribosomal RNA", at positions 592 to 976 of the family's 1831-position model. The record is from RNAcentral.